GUUGCCGCGGAUUUAAUUCCCAACAACUACUCAGUUUCCUCUCUUUUCCCUGUCGUCUUCUUGCUCGUACCCACUUGCACGCACACCUGCAUCUCGGCUCACUGGUGCGGCCACGGAUUAGCCGUCUACGGCGCCUGGUUUGGCUCCUAUACGCCUCGUCGAUCUCUCAAACCGGUCAACGGCGACGGAGGGGUAGCAGGGCCCAAGGAGAAGCUGCUCAGGGGAGGAGGCGAGCUCGUCGAUCUCCAUGGUGCCGGUGCCAUCGCCAUCCGUGCAGGCGAUGUUGGUGUGGAUCUUGUCUCCCGCAGCCAGUUUGGAUCCACCUUGAUUAUGAGGAUGCUGACGGAUUUCUUCCAUCGCAUCGUGUCUCCCCUGAGCUAGGAAGCUCGGCAGGUCGUCUUCAUCCUCGACAGUGGCAGCCUGAUUUCGGCAGCUCAUUCUUCCACCUGCAGGCCCCACUUCUCUCUUUUCCUGCCUCUCCAAUAUUUUUCUUGUUUCCUAUCCUUUUUCUGCAUGCGUAUGGGUAAACCAAUAUAAUGGGAUUAAGGUAAUUCUUGUUAGUGGAAGGUGUAUAUCUGUGUAUGGCCCCCUGCCCCCAUUCAUAUUCAACAAAUUUAGUAAGUAAUUAGUGUAUUCGUGAUUAGCCAUGUCUUAGUAUUUCCCAAAGAUAAAAAUAAUAGGAAAAUAGUUGCGAGUGCAUCCUACAUAUGAACUAAAAUGAUGCACGCACAUGCUGUCACUAUUGGCUUGUACUACAGAAUAAGCUUCAAAUAUCAGAUAACUCAAAGUGUCACAUUUGGUAUUAUUCAUCUAUUUCCAUCAAAUGUUGAUGCAUGUUUCCAAAUUCCAAUACUUCUAGGAGUAGCAGAUUAUAUCCAUUCUGCCAUAUCAUGUCCCUCGUGAACUCCUUGAGCUUUAUGUGGAACACUCAAUCAACAAUAUCAGCUCUUUCGGAUGUUGUUUGGCCUACUUCCAUAAGCAUAGGUUGAAUAUCCGGCCAAGCUGUGUUGCACGUGACUGUCACAAAUAGGUCUGUGUAUUCAGCCCACCGACGUCUUGCUAUAGCAUCUUGAUAAUCGCUGUUGUAUCAAAAAGAAAACUGAUUUUGAGAUUGUUCUUCAAUGGUCUGUAUUUUUCGUACUCCUAGACUUUGAAGGUCUUAAUUAUGUAGAUGAAGUCCUUUCAUGUUUGCUUUAAAUUUAUUGACCAGUUUUCUCCCAAUAGAAGCAUGGAUCGCAUUGCCCUACACAGAGAGAAUACGUUAGCAAACUUCGGAAAAGGAAAACUGAAGAGACAUUAUAUAUGUAAUACUUGAACUUUUUUUUAUCUAAUGCAUGGAUCGCAUUAGUCUAUAAGUUAACUACGUCCCAAAGUCUCAAGUGAUUAUGUGACAACAAAGAAAAUUGAAGAUUUUUUAAACUGGAAAAGAUAUAUGAAAUCAUAGUAGAUGAAUAAAUACAAUUUCAUUGAUAGUUGGUCUGAAUUUUUGUUUCAGAUGGAGCCGGUGGCAUUACGACCACUAUCGAAUAUGAGGUUGGUCAAAUAUGAAAACCAUCUAUAUAUGUUUAUCUAUAUUGCAGCAAUCAAUCCUAUUUGUUUCUGUUAUAGCUGUAGUAUGGCUCUAGUCUUCUAGAGUAUAUUAUCUUAGCGUAGAUACACUGGAACCAACACCCAUGGCAUCAGCUUUCUCUAGACGAGUAAAAGUAUUAACAUGCAACCAUUAAGAUAGGAAUCCACACAUAUAGAAUUGCAUUAUUUAAUGUCGAAUACUCUUCAUAGUUUCUUCUGUUUCUACAUAAUGAACCUUGUGAGCUAACAUGUCAAAUCUUUUUAGAUUAGAACUGCCUACAAAAUAAUUGAAGUAUUAUUGAUCCAUUAAAAGGUCUGAUUUAUAAUAUGAAAACCAUCUGAUGCACCAUAUAUGUUUCUCUAUAUCGCAGCAUGCAUCCCAUUUGUUUCUGUUAUAGCUGUAGUAUAAUUAUAGACUUUUAUAGUAUGUUAUCUUAAAGUGAAUACAUUGGAAGCAACAUACAUGGCAUCAAUCUUCUCUAGAUAAGUAAAAAGUUUGACCGUGACACCAUUAAGACAGGAACUCACACCUAUGGAAUUCUACAUAAGCAACCUUCCGAAAUGGUACUGACUUGAUGUGGUCUGAUUGCUCGACGGAGACGGCUUGUGCCCGCUAGAGGAAGACAAUUCCGAAGUUCUACUUACCAGUUUGCAUGACGGAAAGAGAGGUUUUUUUGUGCACUAUGGGAAGAGUUUUGGAUGCUGUCUGGAGAGAUAUUCUGUUUGGAGAGAUUGAAUCUCUGUACGUUAUUGAUGAUUGUUUGGAUUUGUUUGGGUAAUAUUGUAGGUGACAAUGACAAGUUGUACGUACCAUUAUAACUGCGUGCUUGUCGAUGAUGUCGGCGAUCUUCAAGAAGUACCCCUGGAGGUCCUGCAUGGUCUCCGCAGUGUUGGCUAGUGGUUUGUUGACGAAGGGUGACGUGUUGUUCACCUGGACAUUUACCUAUGCAAAUCACACAAUUCAUUUGACGGAGGCUAUUGCCUAUUGCCUAUGCCUAGCGUCAGGUGAAGGCGCAUGUGCACACACGCACAAACUACAUGCAAACUGAAUUGAUCUUUUUGCAUCGAUCAUUGGCUGAUUGUUUCAAGAGCAACAUGUCAAUUGGAAAUCGUAGUCUAGUAUCCUGGAUGAUUUUGGGUGUGCAAACUCUCAUGUAAUCUGUGUACUGAUUCUUUGUCCCAAUCAUACAUAAUCAAAUAGAAUAGUGCUUACCUAUGGAAAA
Triticum aestivum (bread wheat) is the source of this 2792-nucleotide long non-coding RNA. RefSeq lists it as uncharacterized. The record is from RefSeq and is a predicted model, not a curated record. The transcript is spliced from 2 exons. Lineage: Eukaryota; Viridiplantae; Streptophyta; Magnoliopsida; Poales; Poaceae.